This 30-nucleotide non-coding RNA is filed under the name Rattus norvegicus (Norway rat). The record is from RNAcentral. Lineage: Eukaryota; Metazoa; Chordata; Mammalia; Rodentia; Muridae.
UUACUCAUCAGGAGGAGAAAGUAAAGUCCA